RNAcentral lists this ribosomal RNA (497 nucleotides) under uncultured bacterium. RNAcentral's name for it is "partial 16S ribosomal RNA". It matches the Rfam family "Bacterial small subunit ribosomal RNA", at positions 28 to 507 of the family's 1533-position model. The record is from RNAcentral.
GACGAACGCUGGCGGCGUGCCUAAUACAUGCAAGUUGAGCGCUGAAGGUUGGUACUUGUACCAACUGGAUGAGCAGCGAACGGGUGAGUAACGCGUGGGGAAUCUGCCUUUGGGCGGGGGACAACAUUUGGAAACGAAUGCUAAUACCGCAUAAAAACUUUAAACACAAGUUUUAAGUUUGAAAGAUGCAAUUGCAUCACUCAAAGAUGAUCCCGCGUUGUAUUAGCUAGUUGGUGAGGUAAAGGCUCACCAAGGCGAUGAUACAUAGCCGACCUGAGAGGGUGAUCGGCCACAUUGGAACUGAGACACGGCCCAAACUCCUACGGGAGGCAGCAGUAGGGAAUCUUCGGCAAUGGACGAAAGUCUGACCGAGCAACGCCGCGUGAGUGAAGAAGGUUUUCGGAUCGUAAAACUCUGUUGGUAGAGAAGAACGUUGGUGAGAGUGGAAAGCUCAUCAAGUGACGGUAACUACCCAGAAAGGGACGGCUAACUACGUG